UCUGCCUGGCUCUGCUCUCCCUACUGACACGACCUCUGCCUGUGCAUUUGUCUCUGCAUCUCCAUGUGCAUUGUUCUUCAUCACUGCAAAUGGUGCCCUUUGUGUGAGUGUCUGACCCCUGUGAGGCUCUUCAUCAAGCAUUGUGUGGCGGUGACCACGCAAUCUGAUGGCUAUUAGGAGAAGGCGUUUCCAAUCCCAAGAGAGAAGACAGAGGCAGUCUACAAAAAGAGGCACACUGUGGUUCUUCCUGCACGACCAGGGAGAAAACAUGAGGAGGUGGGAUGGAAGACGUACCUCAGAACUUCAAGAACGAGUACAUGAGUUAAAAGGACUCUGAUGGAUGAUGAUCAGCAGGUACCAAUUACUACCACGACGGUGCAUCGCUGACAAUAUCGCACCAAAAGAGACUCUUUGAUUCCUAUUCAGAAGUUGAUUCAUCAACCCAGGACUUCUGGGUGAGUUGCCCAGAAUUUCAAGAUUGGUUUUGUAUAUUUUGUAUUAUUUUCUCUAUUUUAUUGCUAGCAUUAGUAAAACAUUUUUAAUUUUUUCCAACUUGCAAGCUCUCUCUCUCUUUGCCUCUCUUUGCCCUCCUAUUACCUUUACUUAGUGGUAAGUGGGGGGGGCUGAGGGGUUGGAGAAAAGGGAAGGAGUUAACAAAGCAUCUGCCAUGGUUUAUUACUGCCUUGCAAUCAAACCUUGACAGGAAUACAGAGCCCGGUAUGAAAACCUGUAACUCUAUGUGUGUUUAUCAACUCUGCAACACUUUUAACACAAAACAGUUGAGAAAAUAUUGCUGGCCACAGCCACAAAAUCCAUCCUCAUCUUUCCCAUUAUCAUGGUGGAAAAGCAAACUCUUCAUGUUGCAUUUUCCUAUUUAAAGAUGAAUGGAAAAGGACUGCCAAAGUGAAAGGAAUUUAGUCCAGUUGAUGUAACAGUGGGGUUAGAAAAGCAAAAUGCACAUCUCCUCUCAGUGUGGGAAUUGCAGCUGUGCAUAGCCAAGGCCACCACAAAUCCACCACAGCCCUUCAUGGGCAAGGGACAGCUUGGGUAACACCAGGCUUCAAGCCUGACACUGGGUUGCUUAUUGUGCCAUUGUUCACCAUGUAUUUUUGAGUCACAUUACCCAUUAAUGCUAUGUUCUGCUAAGAAGCUACAGACAUCUCUGAUGCACAUUAAAGACCAGGGUGAGAUGAAAGAGGAAAGCUCCACCAUGAAAAGCAUUUAUUGUUUCUUUAGCAUUGCCCCAUGUGGGUUGGGAACUGAGCAAUGCUGUAACUUGGAAGUGGUACAAAUGGGAAGAAGCACAAGCAACAACCAGGUAACAACAGAAAUUAAUUUUAUUUGGAAAAAGUUAUAAAAUUAAUACAAUACAAAAAUAAAGUCUGUAGAGAACUUUGGUUGAUUAACACAAAUGACUGAGACAUGACAUAAAUAGCAGGUGAAGUAAAAUCUCCAGAUGAGCACAAUCCUGUUUUCAGUAAGGUCUAAAAAAAUUUUAAAAAUCACAAACUUUACCCUUUUGUAUUUUGAACACAGUGAUUUGCUUUGGUUGCAGUCUCUUCAAGCUGUGCAGAAAAUGCUUUGGGGCAAGUUUUCAGCAACCGGGGCUGUACCAGGGCCAGAAAAAGCACACCUCUGAGCACUGUGCCCAGCUAACUGCCCAGCAGCACAGCUUACCUUCAGCUUAGCAGGUCUUUACUGCCCAAUUCAUGCCAGUGCUGGUGGUGGUAUCAGUUGUACCACUCCUGACAAAUGUGGAGGGUAAGGUGUCGCUGUGGCAAUGUGAGCAUGGACCCUGUGGGAAAGUUCCAAGACUGCCCUCUCUCAGCUCAGGAAAGCAGCAGAGAUUGGGGCUGAAUUACAUUUCGUACACCUGGAAUGCCUUCCUAUGCCUGUUCUGGACAUUUUUGACUACUAGACCCUUCUUCUGCGACACCCCAAGGGGCCCAGAGCAAAAUGAGUAUGGAGAGACAUUGCAUGAAUGAGAUAAAAGGUCAGACCAAACAUCGAUUUUUGGUUUUCAGUAGGGAUUUUUUUUUCUUCCUGUUGUUUUUGUGGGAAUUGAUACUUCACCGUUUGUCAGGUAUGUCUAGUGACCUGCACUGUUGCUCCUUUGGGAAAAAGGUCUCCAGAACAAGAGCUUGCGUUAGUAGUCAGGUAUGAAUGCCUCCACUGUACAACCUCCCUCAUCGUAAAGAAAUUCAGACUGUUCUGCUGUGUGGGUACGAUCCUGUAAUGUUUCAGCAAAUUAUACAAAACACUUUGGUUAUUUAACACAAUUGUUUACCUUCAGGCUAUAUUAAAUUCAGGGCUAACUACCAAGAGGAAUUUAACCUCUUCUAUAUGGAAAUAUGGAAGGAAAAGCUUAAAUAAAUAUCACAAUAAAUUAUAAGGCUAAAUGUCAUUAUUUUCCAUUCGUCAAUAGUUAUAUGAGGUCAGUUGGCAAAAAGUGUGAGAAAAAAUGUGACUACAUUUAAACUAUGGCAAGAAUUAGUUUUUAUAACAAACUGCUAAUGUUGAGCCAAGUCCUGUGAUCCUCACUCAUGCAGAGCCACUGCUGCUCCUGCACAUGUAUGACUGCAGUAUUUUUUAAAAGUAUUAGUGGACAGGAGGAAGGGCUGCAGACUUUGGCACUACAUUUUGUGAACAUAAUCAGGAUUUUGUUUAAAAGAAAAAAAGGUAAAGUAAGUGACUUUUUGUGUUCAAGUUAAUACUUUCAAUCAAAAUCAUGGACUGUUGUUCCCAACUUAAUUGUCUCUACCUUCCAAGCACUUUCUAGUUUGGUAUCUUUGAAAAGAAACAUUAAUAAAUAGGAAGACUCAUUACUGAACUGUAAUAAAUAACAAUAACUUGAACACAAUAAAUAUUUUCUGCUUAUUUAUGUCUCUGAACAGAUGUAUUGCAUCAAAUAGCCUCCACCCACUCAAAAUGACCAAAUAGAAAUGUAGUGAAGCAAGUGACAUUAGUCCUUUGUAAACCAAAAUAAACAUGUUUUGUAUGGG
Columba livia (rock pigeon) is the source of this 3002-nucleotide long non-coding RNA. RefSeq lists it as uncharacterized. The transcript has 3 exons. NCBI's taxonomy places the organism in Eukaryota, Metazoa, Chordata, Aves, Columbiformes, Columbidae. The record is from RefSeq and is a predicted model, not a curated record.